Molecule: ribosomal RNA, 129 nt
Filed under: Pteropus vampyrus (large flying fox)
Lineage: Eukaryota; Metazoa; Chordata; Mammalia; Chiroptera; Pteropodidae
Source: RNAcentral
GUCUACGGCCAUGCCACCUGACGUGCCACCUGACGUGCCCGAUCUCGUCUGAUCUUGGAAGCUAAGCAGGGUCGGGCCUUGUUAGUACUUGGAUAGGAGACCACCUAGGAAUACCAGGUGCUGUAGGCG